GCCCUGGUGGCGAAUGGUAUCGCGCCCGCAUUGAAAUGUCGAGCGGGAGAAGCUGGUUCGAAUCCAGCGCAGGGCA
Non-coding RNA from Mycena latifolia, 76 nucleotides. Lineage: Eukaryota; Fungi; Basidiomycota; Agaricomycetes; Agaricales; Mycenaceae. The record is from the annotation of a GenBank genome assembly.